RNAcentral lists this microRNA precursor (137 nucleotides) under Oryza brachyantha (malo sina). Its description in RNAcentral is "MIR812 microRNA precursor family". It matches the Rfam family "MIR812 microRNA precursor family", at positions 34 to 172 of the family's 205-position model. The record is from Rfam by way of RNAcentral. Lineage: Eukaryota; Viridiplantae; Streptophyta; Magnoliopsida; Poales; Poaceae.
UCGACUCUUUGUCUUAUUUGAAUUUUUUUGUGAUUAAUAUUUUUAUUGUUAUUAGACGAUAAAAUAUGAAUAGUAUUUUAUGUGUGACUAAUUUUUUUAGUUUUUUAUAAUUUUUUUUAAAUAAGACAAAUGGUCGA